This 494-nucleotide ribosomal RNA is filed under the name uncultured bacterium. Its description in RNAcentral is "partial 16S ribosomal RNA". It matches the Rfam family "Bacterial small subunit ribosomal RNA", at positions 28 to 507 of the family's 1533-position model. The record is from RNAcentral.
GACGAACGCUGGCGGCGUGCCUAACACAUGCAAGUCGAACGAUGAAGCGCCUUCCUUUUUGGUGGGUGUGGAUGAGUGGCGAACGGGUGAGUAACACGUGAGUAACCCUCCCCCUUCUGCUGGAUAACCGCAUGAAAGUGCUGCUAACACGGGAUAUAUUGGGUCUGUCGCAUCAUGGGUCGGGGAAGGUUAUUGUUUCGGUUAGGGAUUGGCUCGCGGCCUAUCAGCUUGUUGGGGGGGUGAUGGCUUACCCAGGCGGUGACGGGUAGCCGGCCUGAGAGGGUGGACGAUCAGACUGGGGAUGAGGAACGGCCAAGACUGCUACGGGAGGCAGCAGUGAGGCAUAUUGCACGAUGGGGGGAAGAAUGAUGCAGCGACGCCGCGUGAGGGAUGGAGGCCUGCGGGUUGAGAGCCUCUUUCGCGAGUGAAGCAGGGCUGCCUUGUCUGUGGGUGGGUUGACGGUAGCUGGAUAAGAAGCGCCGGCUAACUACGUG